UACGUAGGGGGCGAGCGUUGUCCGGAGUUACUGGGCGUAAAGCGCACGCAGGCGGUCUGCGAAGUUUGGAGUGACAGUUGGUGGCUCAACCACCAAAGUGCUUCGAAAACUGGCAGACUUGAGGGCUUCAGAGGGACACGGAAUUCCGGGUGGAGUGGUGAAAUGCGUAGAGAUCGGAAAGAACACCAACGGCGAAAGCACUCUGCUGGGCCGACACUGACACUGAGAGACGAAAGCUAGGGGAGCGAAUGGG
Molecule: ribosomal RNA, 253 nt
Filed under: uncultured bacterium
Lineage: Bacteria
Description: partial 16S ribosomal RNA
Rfam family: Bacterial small subunit ribosomal RNA
Source: RNAcentral